AUAGAUAGAUUUUCGGGGAUUUCAUCAUACAAUUAAUAAGCCUGAUAAGAAUACAUUUGUUCAGCCUAACAGAUGACUAAACUUCCCAAAAAUGGUGAAGAUAUGGAUCUUUUCAUUUGUCUUUUUGUAUACCAACUGUAUGAGUUGAUCAAACUUUGGUUGCGUUUUCCCACAAAAUGGAAAU
Molecule: long non-coding RNA, 184 nt
Organism: Rhagoletis zephyria (snowberry fruit fly)
Lineage: Eukaryota; Metazoa; Arthropoda; Insecta; Diptera; Tephritidae
Source: RefSeq, a predicted model, not a curated record